RNAcentral lists this ribosomal RNA (164 nucleotides) under Stylosanthes pilosa. RNAcentral's name for it is "5.8S ribosomal RNA". It matches the Rfam family "5.8S ribosomal RNA". Rfam says of the family: 5.8S ribosomal RNA (5.8S rRNA) is a component of the large subunit of the eukaryotic ribosome. It is transcribed by RNA polymerase I as part of the 45S precursor that also contains 18S and 28S rRNA. The record is from RNAcentral. RNAcentral also lists the same sequence under 1 other name. Lineage: Eukaryota; Viridiplantae; Streptophyta; Magnoliopsida; Fabales; Fabaceae.
AGAACGACUCUCGGCAACGGAUAUCUCGGCUCUUGCAUCGAUGAAGAACGUAGCGAAAUGCGAUACUUGGUGUGAAUUGCAGAAUCCCGUGAACCAUCGAGUCUUUGAACGCAAGUUGCGCCCGAAGCCCUUAGGCCGAGGGCACGCCUGCCUGGGUGUCACCA